Molecule: small nuclear RNA, 68 nt
Organism: Vulpes vulpes (red fox)
Lineage: Eukaryota; Metazoa; Chordata; Mammalia; Carnivora; Canidae
Source: Ensembl
GUAUUCAUUUGGAUAGCACAUACUAAAAUUAGAAUGAUAAAGAGAGGAUGAGCAUGGCCUCUGUGCAA